GCCUCCUUGGCUCAGUUGGCUAGAGCGCCAGUCUCAUAAUCUGGAGGUCGCAAGUUCGAGCCUUGCAGGGGGCA
RNAcentral lists this transfer RNA (74 nucleotides) under Flammulina velutipes KACC42780. RNAcentral's name for it is "tRNA-Met (CAT) (tRNA-Met-CAT-1-1)". It matches the Rfam family "tRNA". Rfam says of the family: Transfer RNA (tRNA) molecules are approximately 80 nucleotides in length. Their secondary structure includes four short double-helical elements and three loops (D, anti-codon, and T loops). Lineage: Eukaryota; Fungi; Basidiomycota; Agaricomycetes; Agaricales; Physalacriaceae. The record is from RNAcentral.